Molecule: ribosomal RNA, 253 nt
Filed under: uncultured bacterium
Lineage: Bacteria
Description: partial 16S ribosomal RNA
Rfam family: Bacterial small subunit ribosomal RNA
Source: RNAcentral
UACGGAGGGGGCUAGCGUUGUUCGGAAUUAUUGGGCGUAAAGAGCUCGUAGGCGGUCUGUCGCGUCCGUUGUGAAAACUCGAGGCUCAACCUCGGGCUUGCAGUGGAUACGGGCAGACUAGAGUGCGGUAGGGGAGACUGGAAUUCCUGGUGUAGCGGUGAAAUGCGCAGAUAUCAGGAGGAACACCGAUGGCGAAGGCAGGUCUCUGGGCCACUACUGACGCUGAGAAGCGAAAGCAUGGGGAGCGAACAGG